This 430-nucleotide ribosomal RNA is filed under the name uncultured bacterium. RNAcentral describes it as "partial 16S ribosomal RNA". It matches the Rfam family "Bacterial small subunit ribosomal RNA", at positions 29 to 507 of the family's 1533-position model. The record is from RNAcentral.
AACGAACGCUGGCGGCAGGCCUAACACAUGCAAGUCGAGCGCCCUUUCGGGGGAGCGGCGGACGGGUGAGUAACGCGUGGGAAUAUGCCCUUCUCUACGGAAUAGCCUCGGGAAACUGAGAGUAAUACCGUAUACGCCCUGUGGGGGAAAGAUUUAUCGGGGAAGGAUUAGCCCGCGUUGGAUUAGGUAGUUGGUAGGGUAAUGGCCUACCAAGCCGACGAUCCAUAGCUGGUUUGAGAGAUGAUCAGCCACACUGGGACUGAGACACGGCCCAGACUCCUACGGGAGGCAGCAGUGGGGAAUCUUAGACAAUGGGGGCAACCCUGAUCUAGCCAUGCCGCGUGAGUGAUGAAGGCCUUAGGGUUGUAAAGCUCUUUCAGCUGGGAAGAUAAUGACGGUACCAGCAGAAGAAGCCCCGGCUAACUCCGUG